This 253-nucleotide unclassified non-coding RNA is filed under the name uncultured Pirellulaceae bacterium. RNAcentral describes it as "contains 16S-23S intergenic spacer region". It matches the Rfam family "Bacterial small subunit ribosomal RNA", at positions 524 to 776 of the family's 1533-position model. Lineage: Bacteria; Pseudomonadati; Planctomycetota; Planctomycetia; Pirellulales; Pirellulaceae. The record is from RNAcentral.
CACGUAGGAUCCAAACGUUAUUCGGAAUUACUGGGCUUAAAGGGUGCGUAGGCGGCGCGGAAAGUUGGGUGUGAAAUCCCUCGGCUCAACCGAGGAAUUGCGCUCAAAACUGCCGUGCUCGCGGGAGAUAGAGGAGUGCGGAACUUAGGGUGGAGCGGUGAAAUGCGUUGAUAUCCUAGGGAACACCGGUGGCGAAAGCGGCACUCUGGAUCUCUUCUGACGCUGAUGCACGAAAGCUAGGGUAGCGAACGGG